GAUGAAUGCCUGGGUGCCGACAUUGUGCAAAGGGCACUUGUGGCCCCUGCAGCUCUGAUUGCACACAAUGCAGGAGUAGAGGGCGAGGUGGUUGUGGACAGAAUUAAGGACAGCGAAUGGGAGGUAGGUUACAAUGCGAUGACUGACAAGUAUGAGAACCUGGUUGAAUCGGGCAUCAUCGACCCAACAAAAGUUACAAGGUGUGCGCUUCAGAACGCUGCAUCAGUUGCAGGAAUGGUCCUAACUACGCAGGCGAUUGUGGUGGAAAAGCCGAAGCCAAAGGCUCCCACAGCUGCACAACCGGAGG
RNAcentral lists this unclassified non-coding RNA (307 nucleotides) under Hevea brasiliensis (rubber tree). The record is from RNAcentral. Lineage: Eukaryota; Viridiplantae; Streptophyta; Magnoliopsida; Malpighiales; Euphorbiaceae.